This 252-nucleotide unclassified non-coding RNA is filed under the name uncultured Actinomycetes bacterium. RNAcentral's name for it is "uncultured actinobacterium contains 16S-23S intergenic spacer region". It matches the Rfam family "Bacterial small subunit ribosomal RNA", at positions 524 to 776 of the family's 1533-position model. Lineage: Bacteria; Bacillati; Actinomycetota; Actinomycetes. The record is from RNAcentral.
UACAGAGGUCCCAAGCGUUGUUCGGAUUCACUGGGCGUAAAGGGUGCGUAGGCGGUGGGGUAAGUUUGAGGUGAAAUCUCCGGGCUCAACCCGGACAAGCCUUGAAUACUAUCCUGCUAGAGGAUGUCAGGGGAAACUGGAAUUCCUGGUGUAGCGGUGAAAUGCGCAGAUAUCAGGAGGAACACCGGUGGCGAAGGCGGGUUUCUGGGACAUUACUGACGCUGAGGAGCGAAAGCGUGGGGAGCAAAAGGG